AUGACAUGCUAUCGGGCUAUGACGUCAGGUUACUGCUUCGUGAAAGAGCAAAAUCCAGUGAUCAUGCGCUACUACGGACGAGGCCUAGUACAGCUGACCUAUUCAUUGUCACAGCGACUUCAACUAUCGACAAGCCGGGGAGGCGUUGGGGCUGGACCUCCUAGACAACCCGGACCUGGUGUCCACGAACCCCGUCGUGGCGUUCAAGACGGCAAUCUGAUGUUGGAUGACGCCUCAGGCGCCCAAACCAUCGUGUCACGCCGUGAUGACCGAUGGCUGGACUCCUUUUGCCCAAGAUGUCGACGCGGGGAUGCUCCCCGGCUACGGCAUGACCACCAACAUCUUCAACGGCUCGGCGGAGUGCGGCAAGGGCUACGCGACCCCGCUGGCCAAGGACCGGGCCCGCUACUACAAGAUGUACCGCGACAUGCUCAAAGUUGA
This 441-nucleotide ribosomal RNA is filed under the name Triticum aestivum (bread wheat). Its description in RNAcentral is "partial small subunit ribosomal RNA". The record is from RNAcentral. Lineage: Eukaryota; Viridiplantae; Streptophyta; Magnoliopsida; Poales; Poaceae.